GACGAACGCUGGCGGCAGGCCUAACACAUGCAAGUCGAGCGGACCUUUCGGGGUCAGCGGCGGACGGGUGAGUAACGCGUGGGAAUAUGCCCUUCUCUACGGAAUAGUCCUGGGAAACUGGGGGUAAUACCGUAUACGCCCUUUGGGGGAAAGAUUUAUCGGGGAAGGAUUAGCCCGCGUUGGAUUAGGUAGUUGGUGGGGUAAUGGCCUACCAAGCCGACGAUCCAUAGCUGGUUUGAGAGGAUGAUCAGCCACACUGGGACUGAGACACGGCCCAGACUCCUACGGGAGGCAGCAGUGGGGAAUCUUAGACAAUGGGGGCAACCCUGAUCUAGCCAUGCCGCGUGAGUGAUGAAGGCCUUAGGGUUGUAAAGCUCUUUCAGCUGGGAAGAUAAUGACGGUACCAGAAGAAGAAGCCCCGGCUAACUCCGUG
This 433-nucleotide ribosomal RNA is filed under the name uncultured bacterium. RNAcentral's name for it is "partial 16S ribosomal RNA". It matches the Rfam family "Bacterial small subunit ribosomal RNA", at positions 28 to 507 of the family's 1533-position model. The record is from RNAcentral.